UACGGGGGGGGCAAGCGUUGUUCGGAAUUACUGGGCGUAAAGGGCGCGUAGGCGGCCUUCUAAGUCGGACGUGAAAUCCCUCGGCUCAACCGAGGAACUGCGUCUGAUACUGGAAGGCUUGAAUCCGGGAGAGGGAUGUGGAAUUCCAGGUGUAGCGGUGGAAUGCGUAGAUAUCUGGAGGAACACCAGUGGCGAAGGCGGCAUCCUGGACCGGCAUUGACGCUGAGGCGCGAAAGCUAGGGGAGCAAACGGG
This 253-nucleotide ribosomal RNA is filed under the name uncultured bacterium. Its description in RNAcentral is "partial 16S ribosomal RNA". It matches the Rfam family "Bacterial small subunit ribosomal RNA", at positions 524 to 776 of the family's 1533-position model. The record is from RNAcentral.